This 341-nucleotide unclassified non-coding RNA is filed under the name rhizosphere metagenome. RNAcentral's name for it is "partial ribosomal RNA internal transcribed spacer region". The record is from RNAcentral.
GAAAUCUAUAUGAAUGAAGUUAGAGGACGUCGAGAGAUACUGCAGACGAAGAGCUGUAUUCCUAUACCUGCGCUUAGUUGCGCGGUAGCGGUGCGGUUCUGAGCUUGUGGAAACAAAUGUCUUUCUUCGUUGUCAACUCUGCUUCAACUUCUACAACACUGUGAAGUUUUCUACAAACAAAAACUUUCUUCUUUGGGGAUGAGUUGGUCGUCUUUUCGAUCGACUUUCCCCAGAGGUGACAAACACAAACAACUUUUUAUUAUCAUACGCUAGUCAAAAACCGAUUUCGUUUUAGAAAUUAAAAAAUAUUCAAAACUUUCAACAACGGAUCUCUUGGUUCU